This 1699-nucleotide long non-coding RNA is filed under the name Cottoperca gobio. Its description in RNAcentral is "lncRNA (ENSCGOG00000019017.1)". Lineage: Eukaryota; Metazoa; Chordata; Actinopteri; Perciformes; Bovichtidae. The record is from RNAcentral.
CAGCGCUGUCUGGACGGCACAGUGACGCUGGACACGGGCUGUGUGACACUGGUGCCUCACAUAUAAACAAAACACUUCUUGCAUGGCUCUGUGGACCUUUAACAACUAACGUAAACAGUCUCAAUGUGGUUAGAGAGCUGAUAAAAGUACCUAAGGUUGAAAGAGGAUGACUCCAUUGAUGAAAAGUUAAGAGUUGAGUCCGCUGAGAGUGACCUGAAGUGAUAAUUGCAUGCUGCAUGUCUGAUAACCACCCAUCACCCACCUGCACUUCCUCUCAGUUCUGAUGCAUGGCCCCCUCUUUAGAUAUGAAUACGUCUCGCCGUUCCUUGCAUGUUGUGCUGUGAGAGUGGCAUCAUGAGGGAAGACAGGGAUAAUCCUCUGACACUGUCAUCCAAGAAACCAUGCCUGGGCCAGGCGGACUAUGGACGAGAGCUGGAGAAGCUGCGUGCUGAUUGGGAUGCAGAGAAGAAGCUAACGCAGCGGGCCCGUGGACACCUCUCUGUGGAGCUGAGGCACCUGCGGCAAGAAGCAGAGAGGGAACAGCAGAGGGCUGUGAGGGAGCUGGCAGCCAGACGAAGGUGCCAAAAGGACGGGCACUCUAACAGAAACCAGCGUCUGCUGGCUAAGGAGGUGAACAUUAACGACAGUGGACGUCACACUGAAGUCGAGUCCACAGAAAAAGAGGCUUUUUGUUUGUGUGGUGGAGAAACUUACACUAAGCUUGAGCAGUUGCUGCUGACGCUAUAUGAGAAGAUAAAUGGUGAGCAGGCAGUCUAUAAAUUGCAUCACAGGCAGGAAUUGGAGCUAGAAAAGGCCAUCUUCCUCUGCCACCUGCUAGAGGCCCAUGGAAGACUGUUGCAGGGAAGGCAAAGAGCAGGAAAGCCCAGCUACAUUUCUAACAGUCUCUCAAGAAAGCCAACUCUGGAAGACGGUAGUAACUCCUGUCAGACAAAGCCUCUUCUAACCUGCUCCAGGGCCUUGCCACAGAGAUCCCAGACUGCUUCCCACUCACCUAAAAAGAAAACCAAACAAGAUCUGAGAGAGCAGCCUUCAGGGAGGGCCGUCUGUGCAGCUGACCCCUGCACCUCCGCUGCAGUUGUGGACACCUGUCAGAGUGGCUCGCUGACAAUUUGUCACCCUCACAACGCUCCCCAUGCAGGCUGGGACGACCAGCCCCCCUACUGCGCCGAGUCCUCUGGGUCAGACAAGUCAUCGCCCUCCAAAUGCAUGGACAGAAACAUGGAGAGAGUGAUGUAUGACCUGUGCACUCGGCCUGAGCAGCCAGAGCCUGCACCUGCACACACAGGGAUGGAGAGCCGCGAGGUGGCCGAAGCUCUUGGGCAACAACAGCAGGAGUUGAGGGAGUCGGAAGAGCAGGAUGAUAAGCAUCGUGGGCUCUUGGACAAGGCAGACCCAACUACGGCUAAUAUCACUUCAACGUCGUUGUUAGGGAAAAGGCACCACUCACUUUAUGCAAAUCUCAAUGGUUUUGAAGUGGAAGGCUUACGCACGAAUGGUACCGACUAUGGCUUCCUGGUGCGUCAGAACUCUGAGCUCUUGCGAGCCCUCGAUGAGCUGGAGAAGACUUGUACCACACUGAGGGAGGAGAAUGGCCUGCUGGUGAGACUAAAAAUAACAGAGUUUGUAGUCUUGACUGAAGGCUUCCUAGAAAGUAGGCCAGGUGCACAGAAACAGCCAA